Molecule: transfer RNA, 67 nt
Filed under: Cercopithecus wolfi (Wolf's monkey)
Lineage: Eukaryota; Metazoa; Chordata; Mammalia; Primates; Cercopithecidae
Also listed under: 2 other names
Description: tRNA-Thr
Source: RNAcentral
GCCCUUGUAGUACAAACUAAUACGCUAGUCUUGUAAACUAGAGAUGGAACUCAUAAUCCCCAGGACA